This 433-nucleotide ribosomal RNA is filed under the name uncultured delta proteobacterium. RNAcentral describes it as "bacterial SSU rRNA". It matches the Rfam family "Bacterial small subunit ribosomal RNA", at positions 400 to 824 of the family's 1533-position model. The record is from RNAcentral. Lineage: Bacteria; Deltaproteobacteria.
CGUGAGUGACGAAGGCUUUCGGGUCGUAAAGCUCUGUCAAGUGGGAAGACCCUGCAGUAUGCUAAUAUCAUAUUGCACUGACGGUACCACUGAAGGAAGCACCGGCUAACUCCGUGCCAGCAGCCGCGGUAAUACGGGGGGUGCAAGCGUUAUUCGGAAUCAUUGGGCGUAAAGAGCACGUAGGCGGCUUGGUAAGUCAGAUGUGAAAGCCCGGGGCUUAACCCCGGAAGUGCAUUUGAUACUGUCAGGCUUGAGUAUGGGAGAGGGAAGUGGAAUUCCUGGUGUAGAGGUGAAAUUCGUAGAUAUCAGGAGGAACACCGGUGGCGAAGGCGACUUCCUGGACCAAUACUGACGCUGAGGUGCGAAGGCGUGGGUAGCAAACAGGAUUAGAUACCCUGGUAGUCCACGCAGUAAACGUUGUUCACUAGGUGUA